UCUUUUAAUUUUUUUCCAUCCUCCGCGGUAAUACGUAGGGGGCAAGCGUUAUCCGGAUUUACUGGGUGUAAAGGGAGCGUAGACGGAUGGACAAGUCUGAUGUGAAAGGCUGGGGCUCAACCCCGGGACUGCAUUGGAAACUGCCCGUCUUGAGUGCCGGAGAGGUAAGCGGAAUUCCUAGUGUAGCGGUGAAAUGCGUAGAUAUUAGGAGGAACACCAGUGGCGAAGGCGGCUUACUGGACGGUAACUGACGUUGAGGCUCGAAAGCGUGGGGAGCAAACAGG
Molecule: ribosomal RNA, 284 nt
Filed under: Blautia luti
Lineage: Bacteria; Bacillati; Bacillota; Clostridia; Lachnospirales; Lachnospiraceae
Description: partial 16S ribosomal RNA
Rfam family: Bacterial small subunit ribosomal RNA
Source: RNAcentral